Daucus carota subsp. sativus is the source of this 286-nucleotide long non-coding RNA. RefSeq lists it as uncharacterized. The transcript has 3 exons. NCBI's taxonomy places the organism in Eukaryota, Viridiplantae, Streptophyta, Magnoliopsida, Apiales, Apiaceae. The record is from RefSeq and is a predicted model, not a curated record.
UCUCCUCCAGCUCUCUCCCUCUCAUAUCCAUCUCUGAGCAUCUCUCUCUCACCUCCAUCUCUCACCAGGCUUGAACUCAUCUCUCAGCAGCUGUGACCAAAACCCUAGUUUUGAAUUAGCUACAAUGGAGCUUGCUUUGGGUUCCUAACUUCUUGAUCUGGAAGUAGCUUUCGAAUUAGCUUUCGGGUUGUUUUAAGAUUGAAGGAAAAGAAUGGCACCAAAAAAGCAGAAAGUUAAGAAAUCCAAGAAAUCCAAGCCGGCAGCUGUGCAGGAUAAUGCUGAUCAG